CCCUUAGAUGCUCUGGGCCGCACGCGCGCUACACUGACUGCUCCAACAAGUUACCUGGGCUGACAAGCAUCCGGGAAAUCUUGCAAAGGCAGUCGUGAUGGGGAUAGAUUCUUGUAAUUUUUCAUCUUCAACGAGGAAUUCCUAGUAAACGCAAGUCAUCAGCUUGCAUUGAUUACGUCCCUGCCCUUUGUACACACCGCCCGUCGCUACUACCGAUUGAAUGGUUUAGUGAGAUCUUCGGAUUGGCGCCACUGCAGCUCAGCAAUGGGCUUGGUGGAUGCCGAAAAGUUGAUCAAACUUGAUCAUUUAGAGGAAGUAAAAGUCGUAACA
This 330-nucleotide ribosomal RNA is filed under the name uncultured eukaryote. RNAcentral's name for it is "partial 18S ribosomal RNA". It matches the Rfam family "Eukaryotic small subunit ribosomal RNA", at positions 1470 to 1796 of the family's 1831-position model. The record is from RNAcentral.